GCGCGCGUAGCUCAGUGGUAGAGCGCUUCGUUGACAUCGAAGAGGUCGCAGGUUCAAUUCCUGCCGCGCGCA
RNAcentral lists this transfer RNA (72 nucleotides) under bacterium. RNAcentral's name for it is "tRNA-Val". It matches the Rfam family "tRNA". Rfam says of the family: Transfer RNA (tRNA) molecules are approximately 80 nucleotides in length. Their secondary structure includes four short double-helical elements and three loops (D, anti-codon, and T loops). The record is from RNAcentral.